Molecule: ribosomal RNA, 415 nt
Filed under: uncultured bacterium
Lineage: Bacteria
Description: bacterial SSU rRNA
Rfam family: Bacterial small subunit ribosomal RNA
Source: RNAcentral
UGGGGAAUAUUGCGCAAUGGACGAAAGUCUGACGCAGCGACGCCGCGUGCGGGAUGAAGGCCCUCGGGUUGUAAACCGCUUUCAGCAGGGACGAAAUUGACGGUACCUGCAGAAGAAGCCCCGGCCAACUACGUGCCAGCAGCCGCGGUAAUACGUAGGGGGCAAGCGUUGUCCGGAUUUAUUGGGCGUAAAGAGCUCGUAGGUGGUUCGGUAAGUCGGAUGUGAAAUCUCCAGGCUCAACCUGGAGGGGUCAUUCGAUACUGCCGUGACUAGAGGUCGGUAGGGGAGUGUGGAAUUCCUGGUGGAGCGGUGAAAUGCGCAGAUAUCAGGAGGAACACCCGUAGCGAAGGCGGCACUCUGGGCCGAUACUGACACUGAGGAGCGAAAGCGUGGGGAGCGAACAGGAUUAGAUACC